CAGGGGAGCAGCUACAGAGAGUCCAGACAGCAACUCCCACCCUGCAGAGACAGCCUACAGCUCAGGGAAGUAAGGGAUAGGGGAAAAGGCUGCAAGGAGACAUACACUGAGACAGUAAGGGGCACUGGGAGACAUUAUGGCAGACACUGAGCCACGAAGGGACAUUGGGAGACAUUAUGGCAGACACUGAGACACUAAGGGAAACUGGGAGAUAUUAUGGCAGACACUGAGCCACUAAGGGACAUUGGGAGACAUUAUGGCAGACACUGAGACACUAAGGGAAACUGGG
This is a non-coding RNA of Pelobates cultripes (western spadefoot toad), 289 nucleotides long. Lineage: Eukaryota; Metazoa; Chordata; Amphibia; Anura; Pelobatidae. The record is from the annotation of a GenBank genome assembly.